RNAcentral lists this ribosomal RNA (506 nucleotides) under uncultured bacterium. RNAcentral's name for it is "partial 16S ribosomal RNA". It matches the Rfam family "Bacterial small subunit ribosomal RNA", at positions 29 to 523 of the family's 1533-position model. The record is from RNAcentral.
AGUGAACGCUGGCGGUAGGCCUAACACAUGCAAGUCGAACGGCAGCACAGGAGCGCUCGCUCUCUGGGUGGCGAGUGGCGGACGGGUGAGGAAUAAAUCGGAAUCUACUCUGUCGUGGGGGAUAACGUAGGGAAACUUACGCUAAUACCGCAUACGACCUACGGGUGAAAGCAGGGGACCUUCGGACCUUGCGCGCUUGACUGAGCCGAUGUCGGACUAGCUAGUUGGCGGGGUAAAGGCCCACCAAGGCGACGAUCCGUAGCUGGUCUGAGAGGAUGAUCAGCCACACUGGAACUGAGACACGGUCCAGACUCCUACGGGAGGCAGCAGUGGGGAAUAUUGGACAAUGGGCGCAAGCCUGAUCCAGCCAUACCGCGUGGGUGAAGAAGGCCUUCGGAUUGUAAAGCCCUUUUGUUGGGAAAGAAAUCCAGCUGGCUAAUACCCGGUUGGGAUGACGGUACCCAAAGAAUAAGCACCGGCUAACUUCGUGCCAGCCGCCGCAGUAA